Molecule: long non-coding RNA, 1470 nt
Organism: Rana temporaria (common frog)
Lineage: Eukaryota; Metazoa; Chordata; Amphibia; Anura; Ranidae
Exons: 3
Source: RefSeq, a predicted model, not a curated record
AGCAUUUUUCAUUUUUGUCCCAAUAAUUUUUGGCCACUACUGUCUAUUGAUAUGUAAAACACACUUUGUUAAAUCAUAAAUGUGUUAUCAAUGAUAACAUCUAGUUAACAUCAUUAAUUUUAGGACAAUAAAUAUGUAGAAAUAUACUACUAUACCUGGCUCAAGCUGGGAUCCUCCACUUCUUUCUGGGUGGAAGUCCCAGGUUGGUCGUCGGAAGCCUCAGCUGGGGUUGAUGGAAGGGUGGAAGGAAGUUGAAAGUGAUGACCUAACUUCAAUCUUCCAUACAACGCAUUCUCUCAUAGUACCACAAACUGGGUACAUACACGCCUUCUGCUGCUGCUCCUGAUUUGAGGGAAUCCAGGAUCUUAUUCUGCUCCUUCCUAUAUGUGCUUCUCAAGCCACCAAUUUUGGCUUGCAAAAAGGAGAUUUCUUUGUUUUUGGACCUGUGUCUUCACAAAUUCCAGCAGUUUCUCCAUCGCUGUCUGCCUAGCUGCUUUGUUUUUGUAUAAGGGGUGUUUAAGCUGCCACAGACAGGUCAGCUUCCUGUACAUAUCUAUAAACUGACCCAUGAAAUUUGGGUCCUUGAAUUUAUUCAUUUUCUCUGCAAGAUAAAAACACUAAUGUCAGCCUAAACCUUAAACUCCUAAUCGUAUGCCAAUAUAGGCCUCAAUCUAGAAGCAGUUACUCCUUCCUCCGCUCACAGAUCGUAGGUACAACACACGCGCCAUAGCUUUAUAUACACUGUGCAUGCGUGAAACUCUGCACACGUCGCCCGCCCCCUGACGUUUUUUGUAGUAUAUUCCCCACCCCUUCUCUUUCGUUGCAGUGGGAGAGGAACAUGACGGAGACUCAGCAGGUGCAUAAUAAUAGCACUAACAAGGAGGAAAGCCCGGAGUUAGAAAUGUCCCGAUCCAGGAAGAGAUAUAAGGCCUCAAAUAUGUCUUUUGUGGAGAUGGCGGAGAUGGUGGACAUCUUAAAGAGGACCGACAAUGAUGGGAAGUAUGGACCGUACCAAAACCCAAAUGUGAGAAAGGCCAAAAUCAUGUCUAGAGUUGUGAGGAGUCUGCACAGGAAUUUUGGGGUACGACGGUCCAAGGAGCAAUUGAGGAAACGCUGGUCAGACCUGAAAUUCAGGGAGCAUGAUCAGCACAGAAGGAUCAGGAAACUGCUUAAAAACACUUGGGACAUCUGAGGACACCAGGAACCCCACACAUCCUAAAGAAGGAACUCAGCACACCACAACCUGAGGAAGUGGAGGGAGGAGAGGUGUAUGAAGUGGGCAAAAUAGUGACCCCAACAGGUGAUGUGGAUGAAGAAUAGCGUUUCACCAGUGCAAGUGCACACAUCCUCAUCCAGGACAUAAUGGUGUACAAUCGUUAUUUAGACAUGAUAAAGCAAAAAAUCAAUGAUAUUGAAAAAAAUGAAGAACAUGAUUGAUGUUUUAGGCAGAAUCUAAAUCACACAAUAUCU